UUGACCUCGAAUCAGGUAGGGAUACCCGCUGAACUUAAGCAUAUCAAUAAGCGGAGGAAAAGAAACCAACCGGGAUUACCCUUAGUAACGGCCAGUGAAGC
Molecule: ribosomal RNA, 101 nt
Filed under: Phyllactinia kakicola
Lineage: Eukaryota; Fungi; Ascomycota; Leotiomycetes; Helotiales; Erysiphaceae
Description: partial 28S ribosomal RNA
Rfam family: Eukaryotic large subunit ribosomal RNA
Source: RNAcentral